CCCAGGUCAGGCGGGGCUACCCGCUGAAUUUAAGCAUAUCAAUAAGCGGAGGAAAAGAAACUACAA
Molecule: ribosomal RNA, 66 nt
Filed under: Silene nutans
Lineage: Eukaryota; Viridiplantae; Streptophyta; Magnoliopsida; Caryophyllales; Caryophyllaceae
Also listed under: 1 other name
Description: partial 26S ribosomal RNA
Rfam family: Eukaryotic large subunit ribosomal RNA
Source: RNAcentral